Molecule: ribosomal RNA, 468 nt
Filed under: uncultured bacterium
Lineage: Bacteria
Description: partial 16S ribosomal RNA
Rfam family: Bacterial small subunit ribosomal RNA
Source: RNAcentral
GACGAACGCUGGCGGCGUGCUUAACACAUGCAAGUCGAACGGAAAGGCCCUGCUUUUGUGGGGUGCUCGAGUGGCGAACGGGUGAGUAACACGUGAGUAACCUGCCCUUGACUUUGGGAUAACUUCAGGAAACUGGGGCUAAUACCGGGUAGGAGCUCCUGCUGCAUGGUGGGGGUUGGAAAGUUUCGGCGGUUGGGGAUGGACUCGCGGCUUAUCAGCUUGUUGGUGGGGUAGUGGCUUACCAAGGCUUUGACGGGUAGCCGGCCUGAGAGGGUGACCGGCCACAUUGGGACUGAGAUACGGCCCAGACUCCUACGGGAGGCAGCAGUGGGGAAUAUUGCACAAUGGGCGGAAGCCUGAUGCAGCAACGCCGCGUGCGGGAUGACGGCCUUCGGGUUGUAAACCGCUUUCGCCUGUGACGAAGCAUGAGUGACGGUAAUGGGUAAAGAAGCACCGGCUAACUACGUG